RNAcentral lists this ribosomal RNA (591 nucleotides) under Geosmithia sp. 10 FR-2014. Its description in RNAcentral is "eukaryotic LSU rRNA". The stretch from base 202 to 355 matches the Rfam family "5.8S ribosomal RNA". The record is from RNAcentral. Lineage: Eukaryota; Fungi; Ascomycota; Sordariomycetes; Hypocreales; Bionectriaceae.
UGGUGACCAGCGGAGGGAUCAUUACUGAGUUACAAACUCCAAACCUUUGUGAACAUACCACAGUUGCUUCGGCGGCCUCGCCCCGGGCGCGGCGGGACCCUCUCGGGGGGAACGCGGCGACCCGGACCCAGGCGACCGCCGGGGGACCCAAACUCUUGUCUUUUAGUGUAUUAUCUGAGUGGCAUAAGCAAAAUAAAUUAAAACUUUCAGCAACGGAUCUCUUGGUUCUGGCAUCGAUGAAGAACGCAGCGAAAUGCGAUAAGUAAUGUGAAUUGCAGAAUUCAGUGAAUCAUCGAAUCUUUGAACGCACAUUGCGCCCGCCAGUACUCUGGCGGGCAUGCCUGUCCGAGCGUCAUUUCAACCCUCAGCACCCCCGUUCGCGGCGGGAGCUGGCGUUGGGGAUCGGCCGUCCUCUGCGGCGGCCGGCCCCGAAACGAAGUGGCGGUCACGUCGCGACCUCCUCUGCGUAGUAGCAAUAUCUCGCAGCCUGGAUAGCGGCGCGGCCAUGCCGUAAAACCCCAACUUUUUCAAGGUUGACCUCGGAUCAGGUAGGAAUACCCGCUGAACUUAAGCAUAUCAAUAAGCGGAGGA